ACGUGAGGAGGCGUCUGGAGGAAGGCGAAGGCAAACUGCUGGCCUGACGUACAGGAAGCUCAUAAGUCUGCCGCGUGUUGAUGAGACCGCCAAACAGGUCAAAGUCGCAUAGCUGCACGGAGCACACGGCAGUAGAUGAGACAGGCAUAAGCAGGAAAGAG
RNAcentral lists this non-coding RNA (161 nucleotides) under bovine gut metagenome. The record is from RNAcentral.